Molecule: ribosomal RNA, 400 nt
Filed under: uncultured bacterium
Lineage: Bacteria
Description: bacterial SSU rRNA
Rfam family: Bacterial small subunit ribosomal RNA
Source: RNAcentral
AUUGAACGCUGGCGGCAGGCCUAACACAUGCAAGUCGAGCGGUAGAGAGGUGCUUGCAUCUCUUGAGAGCGGCGGACGGGUGAGUAAUGCCUAGGAAUCUGCCUAGUGGUGGGGGGAUAACGUUCGGAAACGGACGCUAAUACCGCAUACGUCCUACGGGAGAAAGCGGGGGAUCUUCGGACCUCGCGCCAUUAGAUGAGCCUAGGUCGGAUUAGCUAGUUGGUGAGGUAAUGGCUCACCAAGGCGACGAUCCGUAACUGGUCUGAGAGGAUGAUCAGUCACACUGGAACUGAGACACGGUCCAGACUCCUACGGGAGGCAGCAGUGGGGAAUAUUGGACAAUGGCGAAAGCCUGAUCCAGCCAUGCCGCGUGUGUGAAGAAGGUCUUCGGAUUGUAAAG